CAGUAGCCGCGGUAAUACGAAGGGGGCUAGCGUUGUUCGGGUUUACUGGGCGUAAAGCGCACGUAGGCGGCUUGACAAGUCUUGUGUGAAAUCUAUGGGCUCAACCCAUAGUCUGCACGGGAAACUGUCGGGCUUGAGAAUGGGAGAGGUGAGUGGGAUUUCCGGUGUAGCGGUGAAAUGCGUAGAUAUCGGAAGGAACACCUGUGGCGAAAGCGGCUCACUGGACCAUUUCUGACGCUGAUGCACGAAAGCUAGGGGAGCAAACAGGAUUAGAUACCCCUGUAGUCCCUGUCUCUUAUAC
This 301-nucleotide ribosomal RNA is filed under the name uncultured bacterium. Its description in RNAcentral is "partial 16S ribosomal RNA". It matches the Rfam family "Bacterial small subunit ribosomal RNA", at positions 509 to 807 of the family's 1533-position model. The record is from RNAcentral.